Molecule: small nuclear RNA, 19 nt
Filed under: Arabidopsis thaliana (thale cress)
Lineage: Eukaryota; Viridiplantae; Streptophyta; Magnoliopsida; Brassicales; Brassicaceae
Description: snRNA_15957
Source: RNAcentral
AGAGCGGGUCGCCGCGUGC